This 253-nucleotide ribosomal RNA is filed under the name uncultured bacterium. RNAcentral's name for it is "partial 16S ribosomal RNA". It matches the Rfam family "Bacterial small subunit ribosomal RNA", at positions 524 to 776 of the family's 1533-position model. The record is from RNAcentral.
UACGUAGGGACCGAGCGUUGUCCGGAUUCAUUGGGCGUAAAGAGCUCGUAGGCGGCCACUCAAGUCGAAUGUGAAACCUCGAGGCUUAACCUCGAGCCUGCAUUCGAUACUGGGCGGCUAGAGUCUGGUAGGGGGAUCUGGAAUUCCUGGUGUAGCGGUGGAAUGCGCAGAUAUCAGGAGGAACACCGGUGGCGAAGGCGGCAUCCUGGACCAUUAUUGACGCUGAGGAGCGAAAGCCAGGGGAGCAAACGGG